CCUACGGGAGGCAGCAGUGGGGAAUAUUGGACAAUGGGCGAAAGCCUGAUCCAGCAAUGCCGCGUGAGUGAUGAAGGCCUUAGGGUUGUAAAGCUCUUUUACCAGGGAUGAUAAUGACAGUACCUGGAGAAUAAGCUCCGGCUAACUCCGUGCCAGCAGCCGCGGUAAUACGGAGGGAGCUAGCGUUGUUCGGAAUUACUGGGCGUAAAGCGUGCGUAGGCGGCGAUUCAAGUCAGAGGUGAAAGCCUGGAGCUCAACUCCAGAACUGCCUUUGAAACUAGACUGCUAGAAUCAUGGAGAGGUGAGUGGAAUUCCGAGUGUAGAGGUGAAAUUCGUAGAUAUUCGGAAGAACACCAGUGGCGAAGGCGGCUCACUGGACAUGUAUUGACGCUGAGGCACGAAAGCGUGGGGAGCAAACAGGAUUAGAUACCCUGGUAGUCCACGCCGUAAACGAUGAUAACUAGCUGCCAGGGCUCAUAGAGCUUUGGUGGCGCAGCUAACGCAUUAAGUUAUCCGCCUGGGGAGUACGGUCGCAAGAUUAAAACUCAAAUGAAAUUGACGG
RNAcentral lists this ribosomal RNA (562 nucleotides) under uncultured bacterium. Its description in RNAcentral is "bacterial SSU rRNA". It matches the Rfam family "Bacterial small subunit ribosomal RNA", at positions 338 to 916 of the family's 1533-position model. The record is from RNAcentral.